Molecule: non-coding RNA, 1289 nt
Organism: Meleagris gallopavo (turkey)
Lineage: Eukaryota; Metazoa; Chordata; Aves; Galliformes; Phasianidae
Source: RefSeq, a predicted model, not a curated record
CAACACCAUUCCUUUAUUAAAAAAACAACGCACUCUGCACACUCUGUUUUUAAAUCACGUACAUUUACGUGGAUGCUCACACACAAAUGUUUCACAGAACGGCCAGGGUUGGAAGGAACCUCAAGGAUAACGAAUCUCCAUGAAUUUCAGAAGAUCCGACAGCUCGUCCAGGAUUAAUUUCCAGUUGUAGGGUCUUAAACCCAUCCGAAAGAAACAAAAUGCUGAAUAGCAUUGCUGGACUCCCCGCUGCUCAGGGGAGACCAAGGCAAAACGCUGCACCCGGGCGGAGCUCCCCCAUUCCUGCACGGCAAGGGAGAUCGCGGCUCACAGCUCAGCUCAGGAAGGCGCACGUAGGGCGCAUGCGUGGCCCAGCCGCUCGGGCGGGCAAAUUCAAACCUGCCCUCGCGCCCCUCCGCUCCGCAAGGUAGCGGUUCAGCUGACGUCAUUGUGCCGCGUCCUUCUCCAUGGUUUCCGGCGCUCGUGCGCGCGGAGCGGGCGGGCGCUCUCCACAUCCCUUCCUGCCGCCGUGGGGCCUGUGAGCUCCGGCUGGAGGCUGUCAGAACGACGCCGGCGAUGGCAGCGGGGCGCAUGGAGGCGGCCGCAUCGCGGGUGGCCGUGCUGGAGGAAGAGCUGCGGUGCCUGGCGGAGGAGCUGAGCCGCUGCCAGUAUGAAGAUCUGCAGUAUCAGAUGAAGUUUGGUGGAGGCAGAUCAAAGACCCUCUUCAUGUUUGUUAAUUGAAUCUAUAUUAUUUGAGAGCUGCUCCAAAAGUAAUGCUUUCUAUUUUAUUAUGUUGGCCAACGACAUCAGAGGCAAAUAUCGGUGGUAUGGCAGUUAGAAGUUGAAUCUCCUGACCAGUAUUCCAUUGUAUGCUGUUACUAUGCGACAGAUGGCAGACCAUGUCUGACAAAGUGAUAUUUGACAUAGAGGUACAUCUGAAGCAAAGGUAUGGAAUUGAAUUCCUCCAUUUGGAAAGAUUUGUACGUAUUGACAUCAGUAUUGGCAUGCUUCAGCAGUGGCAGCACUGCCAUGCUGCCAGAAAAUCUGUGUUCUGAAUGACCAUGCACUGCUGUCACCAUGAAAUGAAGAGCUUCUUGGUCAGCCCAUCUGGGUGAAUCAUCUGAUGGUGAUGACUGCAAUGAAAAACAAUGUUCUGUAGCUGAGAAUUUGCUCUAUCAAGUAGUGCUAUUGUGCUCCUGGUAUCUGUUGUAGUUUCUGUGGAAAUAAAUAGGAGGCAUUACUUUUGGAAUGUAGUCAUGUAAGAUAUUUAUUAAAGUGGGUUAUAAAAAUUA